CUUCAUGAUGUACCAGCAGGGCUGCUUUGCCGGCGGCACGGUACUCCGCUUUGCCAAGGACCUCGCUGAGAAUAACCGCGGUGCGCGCGUACUUGUCGUCUGUUCUGAGAUUACUGCUGUCACUUUCCGGGGACCAUCAGAGAGCCACCUCGACAGCCUUGUCGGCCAGGCGCUCUUCGGUGACGGAGCAGCUGCCGUCAUCGUCGGGUCCGAUCCCGACACUUCUGUGGAGCGGUCGCUCUUCCAAAUAGUCUCGGCCAGCCAGACCAUUCUCCCGGAUUCGGAGGGUGCCAUUGACGGCCACCUCCGGGAAGUCGGACUUACCUUCCACCUCCUCAAGGACGUCCCCGGGUUGAUCUCUAAGAACAUAGAGAAGAGCCUGGUGCAGGCUUUUGCGCCGCUGGGGAUCACGGACUGGAACUCCAUCUUCUGGAUUGCUCAUCCCGGUGGUCCGGCCAUUCUUGAUCAGGUGGAGCUGAAGCUGGCGCUUGAGAAAAAGAAGAUGCGGGCCACAAGGCAUGUGC
This 524-nucleotide unclassified non-coding RNA is filed under the name Hevea brasiliensis (rubber tree). Lineage: Eukaryota; Viridiplantae; Streptophyta; Magnoliopsida; Malpighiales; Euphorbiaceae. The record is from RNAcentral.